GACGAACGCUGGCGGCGUGCUUAACACAUGCAAGUCGAACGGAAAGGCCCUGCUUUUGUGGGGUGCUCGAGUGGCGAACGGGUGAGUAACACGUGAGUAACCUGCCCUUUACUUUGGGAUAACUUCAGGAAACUGGGUCUAAUACCGGAUAGGAGCUCCUGCUGCAUGGUGUGGGUUGGAAAGUUUCGGCGGUUGGGGAUGUACUCGCGGCUUAUCAGCUUGUUGGUGGGGUAGUGGCUUACCAAGGCUUUGACGGGUAGCCGGCAUGAGAGGGUGACCGGCAAAAUUGGGACUGAGAUACGGCACAGAAUCCUACGGGAGGCAGCAGUGGGGAAUAUUGCACAAUGGGCGGAAGCCUGAUGCAGCAACGCCGCGUGCGGGAUGACGGACUUCGGGUUGUAAACAGCUUUCGCAUGUGACGAAGCGUGAGUGACGGUAAUGGGUAAAGAAGCACCGGCUAACUACGUG
RNAcentral lists this ribosomal RNA (468 nucleotides) under uncultured bacterium. RNAcentral describes it as "partial 16S ribosomal RNA". It matches the Rfam family "Bacterial small subunit ribosomal RNA", at positions 28 to 507 of the family's 1533-position model. The record is from RNAcentral.